Molecule: ribosomal RNA, 120 nt
Filed under: Pteropus alecto (black flying fox)
Lineage: Eukaryota; Metazoa; Chordata; Mammalia; Chiroptera; Pteropodidae
Source: RNAcentral
GUCUUUGGCCAUGCCACCCUGAACGUGCCCGAUCUCGUCUGAUCUCGGAAGCUAAGCAGGGUCGGGCCUGGUUAGUACUUUGGACGGGAGACCACCUAGGAAGACCAGGUGCUGUAGGCA